Molecule: ribosomal RNA, 253 nt
Filed under: uncultured bacterium
Lineage: Bacteria
Description: partial 16S ribosomal RNA
Rfam family: Bacterial small subunit ribosomal RNA
Source: RNAcentral
UACGUAGGCAGCGAGCGUUGUUCGGAAUUACUGGGCGUAAAGAGUGUGUAGGCGGUGCUCUAAGUCUGAUGUGAAAUCUCACAGCUUAACUGUGAAACUGCAUUGGAUACUAUCCGGCUAGAGGAAUGGAGGGGAGACUGGAAUACUUGGUGUAGCAGUGAAAUGCGUAGAUAUCAAGUGGAACACCAGUGGCGAAGGCGAGUCUCUGGACAUUUCCUGACGCUGAGGCACGAAAGCCAGGGGAGCAAACGGG